CACUUGACAUCUUCUUCUUCUUCUUCUUCUUGCCAUUUUUUAGGGUUCUGUCAGGUUUCAUGCAGAGAGUGA
This 72-nucleotide small RNA is filed under the name Arabidopsis thaliana (thale cress). RNAcentral describes it as "ATSL239100". Lineage: Eukaryota; Viridiplantae; Streptophyta; Magnoliopsida; Brassicales; Brassicaceae. The record is from RNAcentral.